AGAAUCAACGCUGGCGGCGUGCCUAACACAUGCAAGUCGAACGAGAAAGUGGAGCAAUCCAUUAGUAAAGUGGCGCACGGGUGAGUAACACGUGACUAGCCUACCCUUGAGUGGGGGAUAACCUAGGGAAACCUGGGCUAAUACCGCAUAAUACCUUCGGGUCAAAGGAGCAAUUCGCUUAAGGAGGGGGUCGCGGCCGAUUAGUUAGUUGGCGGGGUAAUGGCCCACCAAGACGAUGAUCGGUAUCC
This 248-nucleotide ribosomal RNA is filed under the name uncultured bacterium. RNAcentral's name for it is "partial small subunit ribosomal RNA". It matches the Rfam family "Bacterial small subunit ribosomal RNA", at positions 26 to 288 of the family's 1533-position model. The record is from RNAcentral.